Molecule: long non-coding RNA, 2290 nt
Filed under: Linum usitatissimum (flax)
Lineage: Eukaryota; Viridiplantae; Streptophyta; Magnoliopsida; Malpighiales; Linaceae
Description: long non-coding RNA (LUSI_LNC006626)
Source: RNAcentral
UUGUGUUGGUAGUUCGAGGCCUCAUAAGUUAGGUCCUCUAGAUAAGUGGACACAUUCUAUUAAUUCUAGCGUGACCUCUCCAGCAGCACUUCAUCAACAGAAGAUACACCAAGCACUUUGAAAUGAGAAGACAUUUCAAGUCCAACAAUAUAUUACAAAAUGGGUGUAUAUACAUGGUUAGUGUUUAGCUAUACCCUUCACUUUUUCGGGUUUUCCUUAGCUACUUGAGUCCAGUUUUUCUAAUUUAGUGACUCAAACCUUUAUUAUAGCUAUUCCAUUCAAUGCCAUUGACAGUGAAAAGUUCAAGCAAAUGUGUGAGGCCAUCGGUUAAUUUGGUCAUCGAUUGAAGUCUCCAUCUCCAUAUGAUCUUCGAGAGUCUUUGUUGAAAUCUGAAUAUGCAAGAACGAAGAGCGAGUUAAGUGAUCGUGAAAAGGAGAAAGAAAAGAAUGUUGUCCUCUUAUGACUGAUGCUUGGACAAACAUGAAGAGGGGAAGCAUAAUGAACAUAAUCACACCGUGCUGAGGGAACUAGCUUCAUAAAAUCUAAGGAUACAUCAAGCCUUUCUCAUAUAGGUGAAUUUAUUUUUGACCUGGUUGACCAAACAAUUGAGAAAGUUAGAGAUGAGUAUGUGGUGCAAAUUGUGACAGACAAUGCUUCCAACAAUAUGACAGCAACGACUCUCUUAGGAAAAAAAAGGCCACACAUAUUUUAGAGGUUUUGUGCAACUCACGCUGUCAAAUUUAAUAUUCCAAAGAAUUGGUAGCAUUCCAAAGUUCAAAAUAGUUAUUGAUGAGGCUAAGGCUUUCACCAUCUUCAUACAUAGUCACCACAGAACUUUCGAUUUGAUGAGGUCUUUCACUAAGAGAGAGAGAUCAUUCGACCAAGUGUGACUCAAUUUGCUUCUCAAUUUUUUACUUUACAAAGUUUGAUGGAGAAGAAAGAUGUAUAAAGGAAGAUGGUGGUGGAUUCGAAGUGAAAUGCUAUGAAGGAGACAAGUAUAAAGAAAGGUUAGGAUGCUUAUGCCACAAUUCUUAGAAUGGUGUUUUGGAAUGGUGUGGAGAUUUACUUGAAAGUUUUUGAGUCGUUGGUGAAAUUGCUUCGAUUGGUCGAUGGAAAUGUGAAACCUUCGAUGGAUUUUGUGUAUGGGGAAUUUUUGAAGGCAAAGAAAGAGUUUAGUAGCGCCUUUAUGACUUAUCUAAUAUUUUUAUGGUUUUAUCUAAUUAUCUUAUGUGUGUUUUCUUUCAAUAUGAGAAUUUGAAUAUUAAUUAUCUUGAUCUUUAUCAGACUAUAACUCUAUGAACUUUGCAAUUUUAUUUUUGAUUUUGUAUAUUCCACUUAAAAUUUAUUACGUGUUUUAAAAACGCCUAAUCGGCCAAAAUGUGAGGCAGGAUCUCACCGCCUUACGCCUUCCACAACCUUACUUAUUUACCGGACUUGCUUCAUCAAGUGAGACUUUGACUACGCGAUCUAAGGUUGACUCCGACUCUUUCUUCUCGCCUUGUAGUGGUGGUGGUUGUAAACUCAGGUUAUCAACUAACUCAGUAAGUUUCUGCUCAGGCAUCCUACACAAAUGAUAGUAACUUGGUAAAAGAGGUGUUCUUUUCCGAAAUCAAUACUGCAUUGUAUUAAUGAAUCAAAGGACAUAACGGGAUUUGUUCGAAAAAAAGGAUAACGUGUUCAUGUACUCAACACUCCAAUCAAGAGGAGUCUCUCCCAAGAUGGACGACACAAAAAACUGCGAUCCACAAGCUUGCGAUCAUAUUUUGACAUCUCCUAACCCACUCAAUCCCAUAUUCAGCUUAAACAAUUCGGAGCUUAUUGAUAUUGACAGCCUCAUAUUCAACUUAAACAACACAAACUUUGGACCAUAAUCCCACUCUCUGGUCAUAACUAGUUGCUGCCAUGGAAAAAAGAAUUAUACAAGAUUCAAACUUUGAUGAUUCCAUUUUUCUUUUCUCUCAGCCAAUCCACUAAAUGCGCUAUCUACAACGCUAUCCAGUUUACCAUCAUUCCAACUCCAAGAUUCCAAAAAAUCAAAUUCACAGCAAUUAGGCAAAACCUAGAAAUGGGGAUUCAACCAUUUCAAAUUAGAGCCACCAAAUCAUUACCUGCGAAAAAUUACAAAGAACAGGGACGGUGAGGUCAAGCAGCUUCUGUCAAUGGCGAAUGACUGAGCAGUGAGGAACUCAGUUGGCGGCGCUUGAUUGCGUCUUUGAGAAGAGAGGCGUUCUUAGAUCGGUCUCGACGUCGUUUAUGUGAUGGAUCGAUGCUGUUGAUUGAGAAAAUGGCC